Molecule: ribosomal RNA, 458 nt
Filed under: Triticum aestivum (bread wheat)
Lineage: Eukaryota; Viridiplantae; Streptophyta; Magnoliopsida; Poales; Poaceae
Description: partial small subunit ribosomal RNA
Source: RNAcentral
UACAAAUACAAAAUUAUUGGUUUGGUUAAUUUAGUUAUAUGGAUAGCUAAUCUUUGGGCUGACUUGGUUGACAUUGGUAUAUAGUCUAUGUUAUACUGUUAAAUAACAAGCCUUCUAUUAUCUAUAUUCUAGUUAAUACGUGUGCUUGGGAGUCCUUGCAAUUUGAAUAAACCAAGAUCUUACCAUGACUGCAAUUUUAGAGAGACGCGAAAGUACAAGCCUGUGGGGUCGCUUCUGCAACUGGAUAACUAGCACUGAAAAUCGUCUUUACAUCGGAUGGUUCGGUGUUUUGAUGAUCCCUACCUUAUUGACCGCAACUUCUGUAUUUAUUAUCGCCUUCAUCGCUGCCCCUCCAGUAGAUAUUGAUGGUAUUCGUGAGCCUGUUUCUGGUUCUUUACUUUAUGGAAACAAUAUUAUCUCUGGUGCUAUUAUCCCUACUUCUGCGGCGAUCGGAUUGC